RNAcentral lists this ribosomal RNA (850 nucleotides) under uncultured Alphaproteobacteria bacterium. Its description in RNAcentral is "bacterial SSU rRNA". It matches the Rfam family "Bacterial small subunit ribosomal RNA", at positions 58 to 955 of the family's 1533-position model. The record is from RNAcentral. Lineage: Bacteria; Pseudomonadati; Pseudomonadota; Alphaproteobacteria.
CAAGUCGAACGCUGUAGCAAUACAGAGUGGCGCACGGGUGAGUAACAUGUGGGAAUAUGCCUUUUGGUACGGAACAACUUUUGGAAACGAAAGCUAAUACCGUAUGGUCCCUUCGGGGUAAAGAUUUAUCGCCAAAAGAGUAGCCCGCACUAGAUUAGCUAGUUGGUGAGGUAAUGGCUCACCAAGGCGACGAUCUAUAGCUGGUCUGAGAGGACGAUCAGCCACACUGGGACUGAGACACGGCCCAGACUCCUACGGGAGGCAGCAGUUAGGAAUCUUGGACAAUGGGCGCAAGCCUGAUCCAGCCAUGCCGCGUGAGUGAUGAAGGCCUUCGGGUUGUAAAGCUCUUUAGCCGAUGAAUAUAAUGACUGUAGUCGGAGAAUAAGCCCCGGCUAACUUCGUGCCAGCAGCCGCGGUAAUACGAAGGGGGCGAGCGUUGUUCGGAAUCACUGGGCGUAAAGAGUGCGUAGGCGGUUAUGAAAGUUAGAAGUGAAAGCCCAAGGCUUAACCUUGGAAUUGCUUUUAAAACUACAUAACUAGAAUCUCGGAGAGGAUAGCGGAAUUGUCAGUGUAGCAGUGAAAUGCGUAGAUAUUGACAGGAACACCAGUGGCGUAAGCGGCUAUCUGGACGAGUAUUGACGCUGAGGCACGAAAGCGUGGGGAUCAAACAGGAUUAGAUACCCUGGUAGUCCACGCCGUAAACGAUGUGUGUUUGUCGCUGGGAGGUUCACCUCUCGGUGACGGAGCUAACGCGUUAAGCACACCGCCUGGGAAGUACGGUCGCAAGAUUAAAACUCAAAGGAAUUGACGGGGACCCGCACAAGCGGUGGAGUAUGUGGUUUAAUUCGUC